Molecule: long non-coding RNA, 2855 nt
Organism: Homo sapiens (human)
Lineage: Eukaryota; Metazoa; Chordata; Mammalia; Primates; Hominidae
Source: Ensembl
GCUGGGAGGCGUGAGCCACUGGCCUAGAACCGUAUUUUGACUGUGCCUUUUAUAUGUUUAGCUAUGCUUAGAUACCUGAAUACUUACCACUGUGUUGCAGCGGCCUACAGUAUUCAGCACAGUCCCAUACCGUGCAGGUUUGCCACCGGGGAGCAGUAGGCUAUGCUGUCUAGCCGGGGUGGAGUAGGCUCUACCAUCUAAGUUUGUGAAGUACAUGCUGAUAUUCCCACAACAGCAAUGCAUUUUUCAGAACCUAUCCCUGCCGUUAAGCAAUGCGUGACAGCACUUCAACUCCUCUGGCCUGUUUGCUCUUCUAUAAAAUGCCCACCUCACAGGGGGUUGUAAGGAUUAAACAAGACAACCAGGACCUGGCAUUUGGUCGGUGCUCAGCAAAUACUGGGUUCCUCUCCUCCCCUGUCACCUGGGCUUCAGGUUUCCUGAGCUUAUCUGCAAACCUGUGCUGAACAAACAGAGCUACAGCCUGAGUGGCUAAAAAACAUGAAGAGAGGACAAGAAUGUGAUGUGUGGGAGGCAGAGGAAAGGGUCAUGGCCACGCAAAACUCUACUCAGAAUUGCAAGGGGGUUCCUCUGCUGCCCCUUCGAGCCCCCACACUGAAACUGGCUUUUCUGCUAUUUUUAAGAUUUGUUAAGUCAGGCCUGCUUUGCAUGGGAGCUCCACCUCCACAAUAGCCACUUUCUCCUUGGGAUCUGACUUGGAUCCCCACCUCAGCAUUGUCAAAGGCCCCGUGGAGCCUCUGAAGCUCUCCCUCCUGUGGCCUUUUGAGUCUAGUGCCUGUGCUGUGCAUGGCUCAUCACGCUCCAUAAGUAUUUGUGAAAUCAAAAUGUCUCCUUCUUGCCCAACACACACCCAUGGCUCCUCACAGCCCAACUCCCCUGCUGUAACCCAUCAGCCAAUCCAGUCACAUUAGACCUCUUGCAUCCCCUGAAAAAACUCUAUGCCUUUCCUUUGCCUAAAAUGCCCUUCUCCCCCUUCACCCACUGUCUCAUUCCUCAGGACCCUUCUCAAAAGUCACUCCAUCAAAAAGCCUUUCAGAUUCCAGCAAACACAAGGGAACUUCCGCUUAUCCCCAUUCCUCAAAUCACUUUGAUUGUGAAUUAAUUAAUUAAUUAAUUAAUUUAUUUAUUUAUUUUGAGACGGAGUCUUACUCUGCUGCUCAGGCUGGAGUGCAGUGGCAUGAUCUCAGCUCACUGCAACCUCCACCUCUAGGGUUCAACAGCUAAUUAUUGUAUUUUUAGUAGAGAUGGGAUUUCACCAUGUUGCCCAGUCUGGUCUCAAACUUCUGACCUCAGGUGAUCCAGCCACCUUGGCCUCCCAAAGUGCUGGGAUUACAGGCAUGAGCCACCACACCCAGCCUGAAAAUUUUUAAGUUUUUAACCUUAGCAGCUAACAGCAGAGUUCUUUAAAAGGUAUUUAACAUCUGUUUUUGGAAGAUAUGUUAAUGAAAUUGGAUAACUGGGUUUCCUGGGCACGUCAAACCAUAGUCAUCAACAUAAUGUACCCUACCUUCUCAUCAAAGUCCUAAUAAGACAAGCUUUCGUUUCUUUAUGACAGAACCACCCUAAGCGUUUAAAUUCCUUACCCAGAACUUAAGUCUUAAUUUAAAAUUUUCAUAAAUCAAAUUAUUUGGAAAAAUCUCAAUACUGAUUACAAAAUAAUCAAAUUAUUUUACACAUUUAAAAAUAUUCGAAUCUAUUAUCAUUCAACUUUUUUAAUAUUUCAAAAUAAGUCACAAGAUGAAUAUCAAAUCCUCUUAACUAUUUCAAAUUAAUAUCACAAUCAUAAUAUGCCAGAUUCUCUAACAUGACAUUCUCCAAAAUAUUUCAGAUGCCUUAAGAAACAAAUAAUACAUACAAAUUACCAUGAUGAUUUCAGUUUUUUUCUAAACCUAAUGCAAAGUAGUAAUAUCACGGAUUUGGUAGACAUUUUUCUUAUCACAAUGCUUAUUUCUACACCUUCACAGCAUUUUCCUAUGCUUACCACUUUAAGGAGAUCAGAAUUACUGUCUCAGUUUGGCUGGGGCUGCUCAGUCCAAAAUUUGGAACUGAGAUGAGUUACAGAUUUCAGUUUAGUUAGAGUUUCUGAAUUGCAUCAGAACAGCUGGGUCUACUUCCAGAGUGGUCCCUCCUGAGGUUUAUUUUGACUCAUGGUUCUACAGGUUGUAAGGGAAGCAUGGCACCAGCAUCUGCUUCUGAUGAGGGCCUCAGGAAGCUUCCCAUCAUGGCAUAUGGCAAAGAGGGAGCAAGCAAAUCAUGGUGAGAAAGGAAGCAAGAGUGAGCGGGAGGAAAUGCCAGGCUCUUUUGAUCAGCCGGAUCUCGCAUGAAGUCAUAGAGUGAGAACUCAUUCAUUACUGCAGGACAACACCAAGUCAUUUGUGAAGAUUCCAUCCCCGUGACCCAAACACCUCCGGGUAGGCCCACCUCCAACACUGGAGGUCACAUUUCAACAUGAGAUUUGGAGGGGACAAACAUCUAAACCAUAUCAAGAUUUUUCAUUUAUUUGUCUAAAUUGAUUCCUAUGUAUUUCAUAUUUUUGUAGCUAUUGUAAAUGAGAUUGCUUUCUUGAUUUCUUUUUUCAGAUUAUUCACCAUUGACAUAUAUAAAUGCUACUAAUUUCUGUAUGUUGAGUUUGUAUCCAGCAACUUACUGAAUUAGUUUACCAGUUCUAGCAGUUUUUUGGUGGAGUCUUUAGGUUUUUCUAAGUGUAAGUUCAUGUCAUCUGUGAACAAGGCUAUGAUUUCUUUCUUUCCAAUUUUAGUACUCUUUAUUUUUUUCCCUUGCCUAAUUGCUCUUCCAGGACUUCCAAUAUUAUGUUAAAUAAAAGUGGUGAAAAGUGA